This is a small nucleolar RNA of Cornus florida, 107 nucleotides long. The record is from RefSeq and is a predicted model, not a curated record. NCBI's taxonomy places the organism in Eukaryota, Viridiplantae, Streptophyta, Magnoliopsida, Cornales, Cornaceae.
AUAUCGUGAUGUGGACACUUCCUAAGCAAGUCAUUGAGGCGCUCCCAUGCCUCAUAAAAUAAUUCCCCAUCCUUUUGAGAAAACUCUCGAAUUGAGGUUCUCAUUGC